ACGCUGGCGGCGCGCCUAACACAUGCAAGUCGAACGAGCGAGAGAGAGCUUGCUUUCUCGAGCGAGUGGCGAACGGGUGAGUAACGCGUGAGGAACCUGCCUCAAAGAGGGGGACAACAGUUGGAAACGGCGACUAAUACCCCAUACGAUGUGAUGCUGCAUGGCAUUGCAUUGAAAGAUUCAUCGGUGGCGGAUAGGCUCGCGGGACAUUAGCUAGACGGCGGGGCAACGGCCCACCGUGGCGACGAUGUCUAGGGGUUCUGAGAGGAAGGCCCCCCACACUGGGACUGAGACACGGCCCAGACUCCUACGGGAGGCAGCAGUGAGGAAUAUUGGUCAAUGGGCGGAAGCCUGAACCAGCCAUGCCGCGUGAAGGACUAAGGCCCUACGGGUCGUAAACUUCUUUAGACGCAGAGCAAUAAGGUCCACGCGUGGACCGAUGAGAGUAUGCGUAGAAUAAGCAUCGGCUAACUCCGUG
RNAcentral lists this ribosomal RNA (478 nucleotides) under uncultured bacterium. RNAcentral describes it as "bacterial SSU rRNA". It matches the Rfam family "Bacterial small subunit ribosomal RNA", at positions 33 to 507 of the family's 1533-position model. The record is from RNAcentral.